This 992-nucleotide ribosomal RNA is filed under the name Hyaloperonospora parasitica. RNAcentral's name for it is "LSU rRNA". It matches the Rfam family "Eukaryotic large subunit ribosomal RNA", at positions 72 to 855 of the family's 3401-position model. The record is from RNAcentral. Lineage: Eukaryota; Oomycota; Peronosporomycetes; Peronosporales; Peronosporaceae.
GGAUUCCCCUAGUAACGGCGAGUGAAGCGGGAUGAGCUCAAGCUUAAAAUCUCUGUCACAAAUUUAUUUUGUGCGGCGAAUUGUAGUCUAUAGAGGCGUGAUCAGUGUAGGCGCUUGAGGUAAGUUCCUUGAAAAAGGACAGCAUGGAGGGUGAAACUCCCGUUCAUACUUAAGUGGCUUGCACGUACGAUUCGUUUUCUUUGAGUCGCGUUGUUUGAGAAUGCAGCGCAAAGUAGGUGGUAAAUUCCAUCUAAAGCUAAAUAUUGGUGCGAGACCGAUAGCGAACAAGUACCGUGAGGGAAAGAUGAAAAGAACUCUGAAAAGAGAGUUAAAGAGUACCUGAAACUGCUGAAAGGGAACCAAAUCGUUUCUAGUGUCUAUAAUCUAUGACAUAUUUCAUUGGGAAGUGUGUGCGUGUGUAUACUAUGGCAGCGGCUUUUUUUAGUUGCGCUUGGUGUGCGUGCUGUAUGUACUAACUGAUGCCCUGUGUUAUAGUGGGACGUCAAGGUCAGUUUGUAUACUGCGGGAAAUGGCUACUGAGGAGGUAGGGCUUACGCUUGCGUUUGUCUAUUAUAUCUUGGUAGUUGUGUCGUGGUUGAGACUGAGGUGUUCUACAACGUGCUUAUGAGUGGGUCUACGUCUCCGUGUGCGCCGUGUGCAGAUAGCUUGCUAUGUGUAUGUGGUGGUGUGUGGAUUGAUAUGGGCUUUAUCUUACUGCCGUUCGGGACUUUGACGAAAUAGAGCGAUUUGACCCGUCUUGAAACACGGACCAAGGAGUCUAACAUAUGUGCAAGUGUUAGGGUGUGGAAACCCCAGCGCGAAAUGAAAGUAAAGGAUAGUGUAAACUAUCUUAGGUAGGAAACGUUAUGAACUUCGGUUUGUGGCGUGGCACUAUCGACCGAUCAUGAACCCUCGUGGUGAAAGAUUUGAGUUUGAGCACAUAUGUUGGUACCCGAAAGAUGGUGAACUAUGCCUGAGUAGGGUGAAGCCAG